UGGAAAACAUUUUGAAACAUAAUGAUUUUAUUUAUAUUUUAUUAUUUAUAUUUUCAUUAUGUUUAGGGUUGCUUGGAGGUAAAUGAAGAAAGAAGAGUUCCGCAUGAGUGAGGCAGGGAUGUCAGUAUAUAAGGAAUUGGAAAAACAUCGGUAAUAAUGGCAAAAACUGCUUAUAAAUUAAAGAAUGAAUUGCUCAGAAAUAAUUGGCCAGUGUCAACCACAUAUCUGUUUCCAUGGAAACUGCAGCAAUAUUACUUCGAAUAAUUUCAUUUGUGAAUGUGAUGAACAAUUUUCAGGCUCAACCACAGGAAUUAUCUCUUGGAGUCUCCGCAUAGGUUCAGUGUUGCUGACCUCCAGCAGGUGAGAGUGUCCUGCUUCCCCCGCCCAGACCUCCAGAGAGACUUCAUUCCUGGAGAAGUCAGCAAGGAAGAUGGGAGGGGGUGUCUGUAGUUUACUGAAGACAGCAGUCUGCAGCUUUUCUGCAGCUCUGGGUGGGUUACCCUGCUGCCCCAGUUUCCUGGGCAGGGACGGAUACCCCCAGCACCCUGGAAUAAGCAAGCACUCCAGCAACCCCAGGAUCAUAGGAAGAGAGUUUGGAAUACUCCUUUCCCCAGGGGGAGGGUACAGUGGAGUCGGGUCUCAUCUGUGAGUCCCAUUAGCCCUGAGUGACCUCAGUGCCCACGGGCUGGACACUGGCACUGCUCAGCCUGACUCAGGGAGGUUUUCUUUUCUUGCACACAUGGAAACUGGGGGUAGAAGUUCUCCAGGCAGGGUGCCAUGGUGCCUCAGUGCAGCUGCUUGAAAGGCCUGGGGCCUCAGUUUACCAGCCCUCCGCAGAUGGCAAACAGGGUGUAUAAAGGAUUCCUCAAGGCCCUGAUCGAAUUUGCCUCCCAGCACGUCUACAACUGCGACCUAUGCACCCAGCGCGGCUUCAUCUGCCAGAUCUGCCAGCACCACGACAUCACCUUCCCCUUUGAGUUUGACACCACAGUCAGGUGUGCCGAGUGCAAGACCAUCUUCCACCAGAGCUGCCAGGCUGUGGUGAAGAAGGGCUGCCCCCGCUGUGCCCGCCGGCGCAAGUACCAGGAACAGAAUGUUUUCACCUUAUGCCCAUCUGCUGACCCCGUUCUGAAGGCCGGGGUUGAGUGCGGCUCAGCCAUCCCAGCUGGGUUUGCCAUCAGCCCAGGAUACUUACCGUGUCACAGCUGUGUCCUCUUGUCAGGAAGACCCUCAAAUGUGACCAGAGCACUGGCCUUCCAGAGAAAGCCCAGGACGUUCCUCCGAUGUCCCUUGGCCCCCUCACCACCCCUCUGCUGCAGGAGGCGUGGCCACCACCAGAUGCUCCCUGUCUCUGGGCAGACAGGGUCUUUUACUCACCAGGCCCUGGCUCACCAGCAUCCCGGCACCUCCGUUAGGGCUGCCCAAACACUGUGGAAAGGAGGCUUGGGGAGCAUUUUCAAUUCCACAUUCCUGAUUAAAAUGUCUUGUUUUAUAAGGUGGGUUUUUCCCAUUCAUAUUUCAACAGAAAGUAUUUUUUUAUUCUUACCCUACGUGAGUCACCCAUGA
RNAcentral lists this long non-coding RNA (1566 nucleotides) under Rhinopithecus bieti (black snub-nosed monkey). Its description in RNAcentral is "lncRNA (ENSRBIG00000046072.1)". Lineage: Eukaryota; Metazoa; Chordata; Mammalia; Primates; Cercopithecidae. The record is from RNAcentral.